CCAGCUGUUCAAACACAUGAGCCUAGAGGAGACAUUCAAGACACAGUGGACCCCAUAUAGUAGUAUUGGAGAGAAUUCAAGCCACGAUGGAUUAUGUAAACUGGUUACUUUGAGAAACUAUGACACAGCAUCACCUUUCGUAAGGGGACUUUUAUAUACAAUGUAAAGUUACUUGAAGGAGCACUGGAAAGAUCCUCCUGUCUUGUUCCUGACAUCUUCCGGGUUACCAGGCUCUACCUUUUCUUCAGCUGAGAGGAGGAAGUGCGAAGAGCAUAGAGAAAACAAGUUAGCGAGAAAUCCCUUGGAGUUGGUCUACUUGUGAAAGCGGCUUAUUUAAUUCAUGUUGCUGCAACAAGGAAAUGCACGGACGUAUGCGUAUCAUGUAAGAAUGUUUCUUCAAGCAAAUAGAAAUGAAUAAUUAAAGUGAAUGUAUUUACUGUGGCAAGACUUCCGUUUGGCAGAAAACCAGCAAACCAAUUUCACAGCAGAAAGAUGGCGAUCUCCCCCUCCCCAGAGAACGUGCUGCUUAAACAGAAGAGAUGCAAUUAGAGUUAUACCUGCUUUGCAACUCAUGAAUAGACUUUAAGAUGAUCUCAGUCAAGCCUCAGACUCACAGCAACCCACCUGCUUCACCAUCCUCCGUGCUGGGACUAUAGGUGUGAGCUACCAGACCCUAAUCAACACUGCCUUAAAUGAACUGGCAAGCGCCACUCUUCUUGCACACUGUUAAGUGAAUAGGUGACUUGAACGGAACAGUGACAAGUGGGACACUUAGUGUGACAACCAAGACAGGUCCUCAGUGACUAAAGAGCAGCUGAUAUAGACACACUGGACAAGGGGAAGCUCAGAUCCUGGGUGGAAAGAGUCAUGGCAUAUGAUGUCAUUCGACGUCACCAUGCAACUUUAGAACGGCAGCCGUUUACAGCUGCUGACAACGUUUCCUGAUGUUAAUGGGUCUGAGUGCUCACCACUGCAAUGUUUUUCUCCAAUGCUCCAAUCAGGAUCAGAACUGCUUACCACUGAUCUCUGCUUCUCAGGUACCCUGAACAAAGACGACAUGGCACUUAUCUCUCUGGCUGAGAAUAAACAUUCAGCUGCAGAAUCAAA
Mus musculus (house mouse) is the source of this 1107-nucleotide long non-coding RNA. RefSeq annotates it as predicted gene, 36709. The record is from RefSeq and is a predicted model, not a curated record. The transcript is spliced from 4 exons. Lineage: Eukaryota; Metazoa; Chordata; Mammalia; Rodentia; Muridae.